Molecule: ribosomal RNA, 590 nt
Filed under: Lecidea atrobrunnea subsp. saxosa
Lineage: Eukaryota; Fungi; Ascomycota; Lecanoromycetes; Lecideales; Lecideaceae
Description: SSU rRNA
Rfam family: Bacterial small subunit ribosomal RNA
Source: RNAcentral
AUAUUGGUCAAUAGCCUAACGGCUGAACCAGCAAUUUGGAGGAUGUAUGGCAAUAGCUGGUUGCAUUAACAAAAAGUUAGUGUAAGAUCGACUCUGUUGAAUAAAAUUCUUUAUAGAAUUAUGAUAAUGACAUUAUCUAUCUAUGUGUCUUGACCAAAUUACGUGCCAGCAGUCGCGGUAAUACGUAAAAGACUAGUGUUAUUCAUCUUUAAUAGGUUUAAAGGGUACUUAGACGGUAAAUAAAGCCCCAAGAGGGAACUAAUAUACUAGAGUUUGAUGUAAGGAAGCAUGAAAGUACUGUUGGUGUAGAGAUAAAAUUCUAUCAUACCAAAUAUGGCACAGGUUUAGGCGAAAGCAUCUUCUUAUGUAAUAACUGACGUUGAAGGACGAAGGCUUUGUGUCUCGAACAGGAUUAGAUACCCCAGUAGUCUAAGCAGACAACGAUGAAUGUCAUAGAUUACAUUUAAUUUAUUCUAUAAAUGAAAGUGUAAGCAUUCCACCUCAAGAGUAAUUUGGCAACAUUGGAACUGAAAUCAUUAGACCCGUUCUAAAACCAGUAGUGAAGUAUGUUAUUUAAUUCGAUAAUCCGC